Molecule: long non-coding RNA, 1223 nt
Organism: Bufo gargarizans (Asiatic toad)
Lineage: Eukaryota; Metazoa; Chordata; Amphibia; Anura; Bufonidae
Exons: 4
Source: RefSeq, a predicted model, not a curated record
UGUAGUCCAUGGCAACCAGAAUGGGGCCCGCAGCGAGAACGAAGGAAAAGGUUUCAGACGGGAAAGACACAGAUAGCCUUUCGUUUGUGUGAAUCAAGAAGGAAUAUUAUGCCUCGUCAGCCAUUGUGCCAGACUGAGCUACGCCUAUAAAUACUGGCACCCUGCAUGUCCCGUCUGCCGGGCACAUAAACAGUGCCAGACAGAAAAGGGUUAAUCCCAGCACCAACAUGUACCACCUGUCCACAGGAUACCCCACUGAUCACUAGGGCAGGGGUCUCAAGGAAGACAACCACAGCCAUCUCUAUCAGUGGGGGAGGGGAGCACCAUUCUAGUGAUCAGUGGGGUCCCAGUGGUCAGACCCCAAAGCUGAUACAAGUUUACUUUGGGAUAAUUUAACCCCUUUAAAUUAUGACACCCGGAGUACCUUCUAUAAGUAAUACCAUGUGGCAGCCAGAGUUCCCCCAUACAGUAUGUCAGAUAGCAUACCUCCAGUGUUAACCUCCUAUAAUAGUGGCAGCCAUGGAUCGCCCACAUAUGUAGUACCCAAGACCUGGGGGUAUAACAAAUCGGUAAUUGUUAGGCUACUUUCACACCUGCGCUUUCCCUUUCUGCUAUUGAGAUCCGUCAUAGGAUAAUGGGGGAAACGCUACAGUUUUGUCCCCAUUCAUGUCUGUGUGUUUGGUACGACUAAUCUGAGGCUGUGAUCUGGACUGGUAAAUGUCUGGGUCGUGGCAUCAAUAAAACCAUCAAAUUAGCUCCCUACGGGAUUGGAUGGCGAGUGAUCAUCUCCUAAUUAUCUGGAAUGAAGGACCCCUAUAUGUGACAACCAGAGAACAGACUAAAUGACCUCAUAUACAGCUCUAUACACGUGUGACAUAGUACCGAAUUACCUGACCUCCGCUGCCAGGAUUUACCAUACAAUACCCUGAAUAGUACUGCGCAUGCGGACGUACCAAUGACGUCAGAGGCUCCUUGAAAUAUCGCGAGAUUUGUGCUCUUUAUAUACCAGACAUGCGCAUCUGGCUUAGCGCAACGCCACCCUUCUUCUGGUCAACAUAACUUCAGGAGGCCGUGAACAAGGUCCGGGAGAACCGAAACGUUGGCCUAAUUAAAUUGACAACCACUUGUGGCUUUUCAAUAAAUUUUCAGUUUCAUUUGCAUCAACCCGAGUGCCAUGAAUUAAUUUAUAAUAUACUCAGUGAAAGACUGACACCAUCAAGCUG